This 167-nucleotide non-coding RNA is filed under the name uncultured Eubacterium sp. Its description in RNAcentral is "Lysine riboswitch". It matches the Rfam family "Lysine riboswitch aptamer". Rfam says of the family: Riboswitches are metabolite binding domains within certain messenger RNAs that serve as precision sensors for their corresponding targets. The record is from RNAcentral. Lineage: Bacteria; Bacillati; Bacillota; Clostridia; Eubacteriales; Eubacteriaceae.
ACGUGUAGAGGCGCGGGUAUCAUCAGUAACGAUCCGUACGGGACCGGCCCGGCAGAUGGAUUGCAAAAGGGAGACCGCCGAAGUGGAGUGCCGCCGGAAAGGCAUUUUGCUGGGUCUGCAGUGAACAGCUGCAGGACUGUCAUCAAGUAUUGAUGGAGUGCUACGGC